RNAcentral lists this long non-coding RNA (649 nucleotides) under Apteryx rowi (Okarito brown kiwi). RNAcentral's name for it is "lncRNA (ENSARWG00000013478.1)". The record is from RNAcentral. Lineage: Eukaryota; Metazoa; Chordata; Aves; Apterygiformes; Apterygidae.
AAUACCACCUUGACUUUAUUUGUUUCGUAGGAAAAGUAUUGCACCAGAAAAGGAAGGGAGAAGACCUGUGGUGUAUCUUAAAUCAAUCCGUUUUGCUUCGGAGGACUAAAUGAGUUGAUUACGGCACACCUAGGGAAUUAUUGAAUUGAAAAAAGGCUGCUUCAGAAACAGCAAGAGAGAAGAGUACCAAAUUACGGCUUCCUCUUUCAAAAAUAGUCGAGCAUUUCUUUCUCACGGAUUGCUGCCUCUCUGGAAAGUUAUUUGGCUCAUUUGGUAUGCAGUUUAGGUACUGACGUUCUCAGAGGAGGGCUGAGGAGGCUGCGRGCUUCAUCGUUAGCGCAGGGCAGAGCAGCACACGUGGUCGCCACAUGCUGCGGAAGUGUUGGCGUGGCUCUGUGCCUUUCGCCUCUCCCUUGGACCUCCUUCGGAGCAAACAUCGCUCCGCAGGAUGCAACCCUUCCAAAAUGCCUUGCCGAAGCAUCAGGUGGAACUAAUGUGACUGAAGUGUCUAUAAUGGAGGUGUUUUUGCCUGACAAGUCACCCCAGGCGCCUCUUACAGUCAUUAGAGAACGAGUCAACAGUCGGAGAAGAGGAGAGUGCCCCUCAUCUCAUCCUGAAUUGGACGUCUAUGUUUGGUCACCUGAAUCGC